Drosophila gunungcola (fruit fly) is the source of this 372-nucleotide long non-coding RNA. RefSeq lists it as uncharacterized. The transcript has 2 exons. NCBI's taxonomy places the organism in Eukaryota, Metazoa, Arthropoda, Insecta, Diptera, Drosophilidae. The record is from RefSeq and is a predicted model, not a curated record.
ACCGGUUUGGUGGCGGCAACUCAAGGAAGUUGUCACCCGGAUGACUCGGGUGACUCGCCACCCCCACUAGCCCAGAUUUUGAAUGCGAAUCUACAUAGCGUCACUAAACUCACCUCCGUACAUGAUCGAAGUCAGCGGUCUCAGUCGUAAAUUAAAAAUGCGCGCGGGUGUUUGACAUCAGGCAAGGUCAGUGUCGGCAGUUGGCAGAAGCUGUAUACUGCUUAAUGCUCAAUGCGUCCAAGUCGAACCGAGCUGACCCCAAAACAUGGCGAGAAGGCAGAGCCGGAAACCAAUUGCGGAAGCAAAUCAAUUAUUUAUUGUUUUGACUUGUUAUUAUGAACGAUAAUACACACAAUGCGAUUUGGAUGCGAA